RNAcentral lists this ribosomal RNA (400 nucleotides) under uncultured bacterium. RNAcentral describes it as "bacterial SSU rRNA". It matches the Rfam family "Bacterial small subunit ribosomal RNA", at positions 358 to 774 of the family's 1533-position model. The record is from RNAcentral.
GGAAUAUUGCACAAUGGGGGAAACCCUGAUGCAGCAACGCCGCGUGAAGGACGACGGUCUUCGGAUUGUAAACUUCUUUUCUUUGUGAAGAAAACUGACGGUAGCAAAGGAAUAAGCAUCGGCUAACUACGUGCCAGCAGCCGCGGUAAUACGUAGGAUGCAAGCGUUAUCCGGAUUUACUGGGUGUAAAGGGAGCGCAGGCGGGACAUCAAGUUGGAUGUGAAAUGUCAAGGCUUAACCAUGGCACUGCAUCCAAAACUGUAGUUCUUGAGUGGAGUAGAGGUAAGCGGAAUUCCGAGUGUAGCGGUGAAAUGCGUAGAUAUUCGGAGGAACACCAGUGGCGAAGGCGGCUUACUGGGCUCUAACUGACGCUGAGGCUCGAAAGUGUGGGGAGCAAACA